This 499-nucleotide ribosomal RNA is filed under the name uncultured Lactobacillus sp. RNAcentral describes it as "partial 16S ribosomal RNA". Lineage: Bacteria; Bacillati; Bacillota; Bacilli; Lactobacillales; Lactobacillaceae. The record is from RNAcentral.
CACGUAGUUAGCCGUGACUUUCUGGUUGAUUACUGUCAAAUAAAGGCCAGUUACUACCUCUAUCCUUCUUCACCAACAACAGAGCUUUACGAUCCGAAAACCUUCUUCACUCACGCGGCGUUGCUCCAUCAGACUUGCGUCCAUUGUGGAAGAUUCCCUACUGCUGCCUCCCGUAGGAGUUUGGGCCGUGUCUCAGUCCCAAUGUGGCCGAUCAGUCUCUCAACUCGGCUAUGCAUCGUCGCCUUGGUAAGCCGUUACCUUACCAACUAGCUAAUGCACCGCGGGGCCAUCCCUUAGCGACAGCUUACGCCGCCUUUCAAAAGCUGAUCAUGCGAUCUGCUUUAUUAUCUGGUAUUAGUACCUGUUUCCAAAUGGUAUCCCAGUACUAGGGCAGGUUCCCCACGUGUUACUCACCCAUCCGCCGCUCGCUUUUCCACGUCAUUACCAAGCAAAUCUGUUGUCGCUCGCUCGACUUGCAUGUAUUAGGCACGCCGCCACG